Molecule: RNA transcript, 3322 nt
Organism: Phoenix dactylifera (date palm)
Lineage: Eukaryota; Viridiplantae; Streptophyta; Magnoliopsida; Arecales; Arecaceae
Gene name: crooked neck protein, putative / cell cycle protein
Source: RefSeq, a predicted model, not a curated record
CCACUUAAUUCGGACCCUCCCCGAAACCCUCCUUGCCCUCGUCUUCUCGACCUCCUUCCCUGCUGCCCGUGACCCAAUCCCUAAUCUCUUAUACUUCUCCUGCAUUGAGCAGAGAAAACAGAGACAGAGGGAGACAGAUCGACGAAACAAGGAUGGCAUCGGCGAAGGACGCGGAUCCGAACCUUGGGUUCCUGACGAAGCGCGACACGGAGGUGAAGCUCCCCCGUCCGACCCGCGUGAAGAACAAGACUCCGGCCCCCAUCCAGAUCACCGCCGAGCAGAUCCUCCGGGAGGCCCGGGAGCGGCAGGAGCCCGAGAUCCGCCCUCCCAAGCAGAAGAUCACGGACGUCUAUGAGCUCUCCGAUUACCGACUCCGCAAGCGCAAGGAGUUCGAGGACCAAAUCCGCCGCGUCCGAUGGCACACCGGCGUCUGGGUGAAGUACGCCGCCUGGGAGGAGUCCCAGAAGGACUUCGCCCGCACCCGCUCCGUCUGGGAGCGCGCCCUCGAGGUCGACUACCGCAACCACACGCUCUGGCUCAAGUACGCCGAGUUCGAGAUGCGCAACCGCUUCGUCAACCAUGCCCGCAACGUCUGGGACCGCGCCGUCUCCCUUCUCCCCCGUGUCGACCAGCUCUGGUACAAGUACAUCCACAUGGAGGAGAUGCUCGGCAACGUCGCCGGCGCCCGCCAGGUUUUUGAGCGCUGGAUGUCCUGGCAGCCUGAUGCCCAGGGCUGGCUCUCGUACAUCAAAUUUGAGCUGCGAUACGGCGAGGUCGACCGCGCCCGCGCCAUCUACGAGCGGUUUGUCGCCUGCCACCCCCGCCCCCACGCGUUCAUCCGCUUUGCCAAGUUCGAGAUGAAGAACGGCGAGGUUCCACGGGCCCGUGCUGUAUAUGAGCGUGCUGUUGACCUCCUCUCCGAGGACGAAGAAGUUGAGCAGCUCUUCGUUGCUUUCGCUGAGUUUGAGGAACGGUGCAAGGAGGUGGAGCGUGCCCGAUGCAUCUACAAGUUCUCACUCGACCACAUCCCCAAGGGCCGCGCUGAGGACUUGUACAAAAAAUUCGUUGCAUUCGAGAAGCAGUAUGGGGACAGGGAAGGGAUUGAGGAUGCCAUCGUGGGAAAAAGGAGGUUCCAGUACGAGGAGGAGGUAAGGAAAAAUCCACUAAAUUAUGACUCGUGGUUCGAUUAUAUUAGGCUGGAGGAGAGUGUCGGGAAUAAGGAGAUGGUUAGGGAAGUUUAUGAGAGGGCGAUUGCUAAUGUGCCUCCAGCAGCAGAGAAGCGGUACUGGCAGCGAUACAUCUAUUUGUGGAUAAAUUAUGCGUUGUAUGAAGAGCUUGAUGCUGGAGAUAUGGAGAGGACUAGAGAGGUUUACAGGGAAUGCAUUAAAUUGAUUCCUCACAAGAAAUUUUCAUUUGCGAAAAUUUGGCUCCUGGCAGCCCAGUUUGAGAUAAGGCAAAAAAAUCUUAAGGCUGCACGCCGAAUCCUAGGCAAUGCAAUUGGAAUGGCUCCAAAAGAUAAGAUCUUUAAGAAGUACAUUGAGAUUGAGCUCCAGCUAGGAAAUAUCAACCGCUGCAGAACCCUAUAUGAGAAGUAUCUUGAGUGGGCUCCUGCAAACUGCUAUGCUUGGAGCAAGUAUGCUGAAUUGGAAAGAUCAUUAAGUGAGACAGAGCGUGCUCGAUCAAUAUUUGAACUUGCGAUUGCUCAACCUGCAUUGGACAUGCCGGAGUUGUUGUGGAAGGCUUACAUUGACUUCGAGAUAUCAGAGGGUGAAUACGAGAGAACAAGGCAACUCUAUGAGAGGUUACUUGAUCGAACAAAACACUUGAAGGUAUGGAUUAGUUAUGCCAAGUUUGAGGCUUCAGCUGGUAUGGAAGAUGAAGAGGUGGAUGGGGAGGCUCAGGAAAGCAGUGAUGAUAUCUCUCGUCAUGAGCAGCAAUUGGAGUGCAUCCAACGAUGCCGAGGUGUUUUUGAGAGGGCAUUCGACUACUUCAGAACGGCUGCCCCUGAGUUAAAGGAGGAAAGGGGGAUGCUCUUGGAGGAGUGGUUGAAUUUUGAGAGUAGUUUUGGAAAUCUUGGGGAUGUCAGUUCAGUCCAAAAGAAGUUACCCAGGAAGGUAAAGAGGAAGAGGGCCAUAUCUACUGAAGAUGGGACUCCUGCAGGUUUUGAGGAAUAUAUUGACUACAUAUUCCCUGAUGAAGUGGCAAUAGCUCCAAAUCUGAAAAUAUUGGAAGCUGCAUACAAAUGGAAAAAGCAGAAAGUGGAUUCUGAUGAGGAUUGAAUGUAAUGCAUAUAUAAUGGGUUGAUAUGUGUCAAAUCAUUUUUUUACUUUGGAUUGAGAUGAUAGCGUAGCUGUUCGGUGUCUUUCUUUACCAAUGUAUAGUGAGAUCAGAAACUUGGUUGGUAAGCAUAUAUCCCUAGCCAUCCAUUUUCUCUGCCAUCAUUUGCAGUCUCUGAAUUGACUAUGAAGUUGACGGAUGCUUGUAACGGCGUUGUUGGUGGUGUCCAUUAUAGCCGUAGGCUGGUCUGAUUGUUGGUGUUGGUGGCUCUCUCCCCCCAUCGGUUCCAGUCCUUGAACUGAAAUUUUCGGAAUGGUUGAGCAUGAUUUCCUAAUAGAUUAGGCGAUCCUUAUUAAGAGGUUCUCUUGUUUCGCAACCAUGACAAAAGAACGAAGCUUCCCUUGAUGCUUUCCAGUCACUUGGAAUAACCAGUAACGUCAUCAAGAUGCCUUAUAUACUUUAUGUGAAUAGAUGAUGGUGAUAAUAUUUGUUUCGAAGGGAAAGAAGUCGUGCUGAUGGAUGUGUUUGAAGUGUUUUGCGAGAGAAGGGUUUCUUUUAUUUCACGGGAGCUCUCAGGACAGGCGUGAUAUAAUAGAUUACUUUCUGCUGAUCUCUUUGGGCAUUGAAAACGCAGUUGCGGAGCAUAACCACUUCAUUUUAUAAAUUAAGUGGUAAAGAUCAACCUUUUCUUGUUGCCGGGUUCUGAUUUUGUUGUGCAAGCUAUAAUGACGUCUUUGUGAGAAAUACGGUGGGUGUGCUGCUACCCCUCCCAUUGAAACUUAGAAAGAGAAAUGCCAACAAGUUGAGCUGAAUGAGAUUGACGGGGUCAAGUUCGCUUAAAUAUUAUUUUAUCAAAAAAUAAAGAAAAUAUCUGAGGCUUUGUAGUGAAGUGGUAAUGGAAAUCGAAGAUAUUCUCUCAUUGACUUGUAUGCAUGCGGCUUGUGUGUUUGCUAUUUUUUUCAUGGAUCCUUUGUUUAUGAACAUGAUGUAUCUCUUGCUCGAAUCGUGUGUAACUAAUCAAAGGUUAACGCUCUAGUUCCUCUGG